GAUGAACGCUGGCGGCGUGCCUAAUACAUGCAAGUCGAGCGAACAGACGAGGAGCUUGCUCCUCUGACGUUAGCGGCGGACGGGUGAGUAACACGUGGAUAACCUACCUAUAAGACUGGGAUAACUUCGGGAAACCGGAGCUAAUACCGGAUAAUAUAUUGAACCGCAUGGUUCAAUAGUGAAAGACGGUUUUGCUGUCACUUAUAGAUGGAUCCGCGCCGCAUUAGCUAGUUGGUAAGGUAACGGCUUACCAAGGCAACGAUGCGUAGCCGACCUGAGAGGGUGAUCGGCCACACUGGAACUGAGACACGGUCCAGACUCCUACGGGAGGCAGCAGUAGGGAAUCUUCCGCAAUGGGCGAAAGCUUGACGGAGCACGCCGCGUGAGUGAUGAAGGUCUUCGGAUCGUAAAACUCUGUUAUUAGGGAAGAACAAAUGUGUAAGUAACUAUGCACGUCUUGACGGUACCUAAUCAGAAAGCCACGGCUAACUACGUG
Molecule: ribosomal RNA, 496 nt
Filed under: uncultured bacterium
Lineage: Bacteria
Description: partial 16S ribosomal RNA
Rfam family: Bacterial small subunit ribosomal RNA
Source: RNAcentral